AAGUCGUAACAAGGUUUCCGUAGGUGAACCUGCGGAAGGAUCAUUAACACGUAUCCACGUUAAACCAACCGUGCACUUUCAAUUAUGCGUUGUUUUUGAGCUCGAGGUCAGUUCGCUUUCCAAGAGUUCGAAGACGAUUCGUUUCGGCUCGGCACGUGUCGUGAAGUUGGUGCUUGCACCGGCGAUGGAUGCCACCUCUGACGAGAGUGAAACUGGAAGGGUACGUAACUCGACAGUUUCGAUUUAUUUCAAGGACGAUCCGUUCUGGGCCGGAUCGAAAUUUGUGGUAAUGAGAGGGUUCUGGAACUCUACGGGGUAACUGUCUGAGUUGCACAUCUUUCAAACCCCUUAAAAAAAUUGACAUCCGAGACCUCAGGGUAAAACCGAGGCGAACAACUGUUAACAAUGGAUAUCUUGGUUCUC
This 423-nucleotide unclassified non-coding RNA is filed under the name fungal sp. Its description in RNAcentral is "partial internal transcribed spacer region". The stretch from base 1 to 46 matches the Rfam family "Eukaryotic small subunit ribosomal RNA", at positions 1786 to 1831 of the family's 1831-position model. The record is from RNAcentral. Lineage: Eukaryota; Fungi.